Small nuclear RNA from Otolemur garnettii (small-eared galago), 103 nucleotides. Lineage: Eukaryota; Metazoa; Chordata; Mammalia; Primates; Galagidae. The record is from Ensembl.
GUGUUGCUUCAGCAGCACAUACCCUAAAAUCAGAAUGAUACAAAGAUUAGCCUGGCCCCAGCACAAAGAUGACAUGCUUAUCUGUGAAACCACAUCCUUGCUU